UACGUAGGUGGCAAGCGUUGUCCGGAUUUAUUGGGUUUAAAGGGUGCGUAGGCGGCUUUGUAAGUCAGUGGUGAAAUAUGGCAGCUUAACUGUCAAGGUGCCAUUGAUACUGCGGAGCUUGAGUACAGAUGAGGUAGGCGGAAUUGACGGUGUAGCGGUGAAAUGCUUAAAUAUCGUCAAGAACACCUAUAGCGAAGGCAGCUUACUAGGCUGUAACUGACGCUGAGGCACGAAAGUGUGGGGAUCAAACAGG
This 253-nucleotide ribosomal RNA is filed under the name uncultured bacterium. Its description in RNAcentral is "partial 16S ribosomal RNA". It matches the Rfam family "Bacterial small subunit ribosomal RNA", at positions 524 to 776 of the family's 1533-position model. The record is from RNAcentral.